RNAcentral lists this ribosomal RNA (775 nucleotides) under uncultured Neocallimastigales. Its description in RNAcentral is "partial large subunit ribosomal RNA". It matches the Rfam family "Eukaryotic large subunit ribosomal RNA", at positions 24 to 634 of the family's 3401-position model. The record is from RNAcentral. Lineage: Eukaryota; Fungi; Neocallimastigomycota; Neocallimastigomycetes; Neocallimastigales.
UAUCUCUGUAGAGUCUGCAUAUCAAUAAGCGGAGGAAAAGAAACUAACAAGGAUUCCCUUAGUAACGGCGAGUGAAGCGGGAAGAGCUCAAAUUUGAAAUCUUCAAGGUUUUACCUUGACGAAUUGUAGUUUAAAGAAGUGUUUUCUGUUGAAGUUUCGGUAAAAGUUCUUUGGAAUAGGACAUCAUAGAGGGUGAGAAUCCCGUAUUUGACCGUUAUUUUCAGCUGUGUGAUACACUUUCAAAGAGUCGGAUUGUUUGGGAAUGCAGUCCAAAAUGGGUGGUAAAUUUCAUCUAAAGCUAAAUAUUGGCGAGAGACCGAUAGCGAACAAGUACCGUGAGGGAAAGAUGAAAAGAACUUUGAAAAGAGAGUUAAACAGUACGUGAAAUUGUCAAAAGGGAAGCGUUUGACACCAGUGUUGUUUUCUCCGAAAAUCAAUUAAAAAUGGCUUGAUUUUGUGUUGUAUUGACCUUAAAAGCUUUCUUCACUUUUUUCAUGUCUUUUUUAAUGCACUUUUCGUUUAACAAGUCAACAUCAGUUUCUCUUGUUGUAAAAAGGUCAUUGGAAGGUGGCUUUCUUUUCGGAGAAAGUGUUUAUAGCCUUUGACUUCUGCAAUCGGAGAGACUGAGGUCUGCAGCGUAGAUCCUUCUGGAUUAGAUUCAUUUGUGCUAAGUUACAACCGUUUAUAGACAACUUGUUGACUAUAUUCGAUCCUGUAGCUUACUCGCUUAUGUAAUUUUACCUACGCUUAGGAUGUUGAUAUGCAUGACUGAUAU